CCCGCUGAACUUAAGCAUAUCAAUAAGCGGAGGAAAAGAAACUAACAAGGAUUCCCCUAGUAACUGCGAGUGAACCGGGAAAAGCUCAAAUUUUGAAUCUGGCGGUCUUCAGGCCGUCCGAGUUGUAAUCUAGUAGAAGCGUCUUCCGCGCUGGACCGUGUAUAAGUUUCCUGGAAUGGAACGUCGUAGAGGGUGAGAAUCCCGUCUUUGACACGAACUGCCAGGGCUAUGUGAUGCGCUCUCGACGAGUCGAGUGUGUUUGGGAAUGCAGCUCAAAUAGGGUGGUAAAUUCCAUCUAAAGCUAAAUACAGGCGAGAGACCGAUAGCGAACAAGUACCGUGAGGGAAAGAUGAAAAGAACUUUGGAAAGAGAGUUAAACAGUGACGUGAAAUUGCUGAAAGGGAAACGCUUGAUGUCAGUCGCGUCGUCCGGGGAUCAGCCUUGCUCUUUUGCUCGGUGUAUUUCUUGGUCGACGGGUCAGCAUCGGUUUCGACCGUCGGAAAAUGGCUCGAGGAAUGUGGCACCCUUCGGGGUGUGUUAUAGACUCGGGUCGAAUACGGCGAUUGGGUCCGAGGAACUCAGCACGACCUUAGGGUUCGGGGCUUCGGCCCACGUCAACGUGCUUAGGAUGCUGGCAUAAUGGCCUUAAGCGACCCGUCUUGAAACACGG
Molecule: ribosomal RNA, 670 nt
Filed under: uncultured fungus
Lineage: Eukaryota; Fungi
Description: eukaryotic LSU rRNA
Rfam family: Eukaryotic large subunit ribosomal RNA
Source: RNAcentral